CUCGUAAAAUUAUCUUCUUUCACGAGCAUCGCAAGAGAUAACGAAACACUUUUAGUUUAAGCUCAGAAGGAAUAGCUAAAGAAAGAGAAGGUGGGAGAUUUGAACUGCGUAAAAAGUACGGAACAGAAGAUGACUCGAGCAAUAACUUGAGAAAAGCCUUGCAAGGUCAAGAAAAAGAGCAAAAAGGAAGUAUGGAAAAGAAAAAAAAUAAAAUUACAAGCUCAAUUAGGAUAGCACCAACAGAGACCUACAAUCGUUCAAGCCUCGAAAAACCAUUCUUCUUGCAACUCGUCAACAAAUUACAUGAAUACUUGUCUCGUUCGUAAUUAUAAGAAAGUGGAUAAAUAAUAAUAUUUACUAGAAAUGUGUAAGAUAAUAGAAAAUUAUAAUACAUGAUUUUAUUUUAUUGAAAAGACUAUAA
RNAcentral lists this non-coding RNA (421 nucleotides) under Solanum lycopersicum (tomato). The record is from RNAcentral. Lineage: Eukaryota; Viridiplantae; Streptophyta; Magnoliopsida; Solanales; Solanaceae.